This 468-nucleotide unclassified non-coding RNA is filed under the name uncultured Basidiomycota. RNAcentral describes it as "sequence contains ITS2". The stretch from base 1 to 154 matches the Rfam family "5.8S ribosomal RNA". Lineage: Eukaryota; Fungi; Basidiomycota. The record is from RNAcentral.
AACUUUUAACAAUGGAUCACUUGGUUCUCGCAACGAUGAAGAACGCAGCGAAAUGCGAUAUGUAAUGUGAAUUGCAGAAUUCAGUGAAUCAUCGAAUCUUUGAACGCACAUUGCGCUCCUUGGUAUUCCGAGGAGCACACCUGUUUGAGUAUCAAUAAACUCUCAUUGUGUUUUGUUAUUGAAACAACACUGCACAAUGGAUUUGGACAAUCUGCUUCAUCAUGAAUCAGCUGUCUUAAUGUCAAUGUCUUUAAGCUUCGUUGAAAAGAGUAUGCUUAUCUGAAAUGAUAGAAUAAGUGAUGCACUUUUUUACUUUCAGAACUAUGCUGUAUUCAUAAUUUUCGAAGGCGUUUUUUGAUUCAACAUAAACAUUUAUGAUGGUUUCAGUUGAAACCAUCAUAGAUACAACUUGGUCUCAAAUCAGGUGGGAAAACCCGCUGAACUUAAGCAUAUCAAUAAGCGGAGGCU